This 256-nucleotide ribosomal RNA is filed under the name uncultured bacterium. Its description in RNAcentral is "partial 16S ribosomal RNA". It matches the Rfam family "Bacterial small subunit ribosomal RNA", at positions 523 to 776 of the family's 1533-position model. The record is from RNAcentral.
UUACGUAGGUGGCAAGCGUUGUCCGGAAUUAUUUGGGCGUAAAGCGCGCGCAGGCGGUCCUUUUAAGUCUGAUGUGAAAGCCCACGGCUCAACCGUGGAGGGUCAUUGGAAACUGGGACUUGAGUACAGAAGAGAAGAGUGGAAUUCCACGUGUAGCGGUGAAAUGCGUAGAGAUGUGGAGGAACACCAGUGGCGAAGGCGACUCUUUUUGGUCUGUAACUGACGCUGAGGCGCGAAAGCGUGGGGAGCAAACAGG